UCCGGUUUGUCACCGGCAGUCUCCUUAGAGUGCCCACCAUAACGUGCUGGUAACUAAGGACAAGGGUUGCGCUCGUUACGGGACUUAACCCAACAUCUCACGACACGAGCUGACGACAGCCAUGCAGCACCUGUCUCAAUGUUCCCGAAGGCACCAAUCCAUCUCUGGAAAGUUCAUUGGAUGUCAAGGCCUGGUAAGGUGGGGAUGACGUUGGAGGAAUUCCA
This 224-nucleotide unclassified non-coding RNA is filed under the name uncultured Pseudomonadaceae bacterium. RNAcentral's name for it is "contains 16S-23S intergenic spacer region". The record is from RNAcentral. Lineage: Bacteria; Pseudomonadati; Pseudomonadota; Gammaproteobacteria; Pseudomonadales; Pseudomonadaceae.